Molecule: ribosomal RNA, 470 nt
Filed under: uncultured bacterium
Lineage: Bacteria
Description: partial 16S ribosomal RNA
Rfam family: Bacterial small subunit ribosomal RNA
Source: RNAcentral
UGGGGAAUAUUGCACAAUGGGCGCAAGCCUGAUGCAGCCAUGCCGCGUGUGUGAAGAAGGCCUUCGGGUUGUAAAGCACUUUCAGCGAGGAGGAAGGUGGUGAACUUAAUACGUUCAUCAAUUGACGUUACUCGCAGAAGAAGCACCGGCUAACUCCGUGCCAGCAGCCGCGGUAAUACGGAGGGUGCAAGCGUUAAUCGGAAUUACUGGGCGUAAAGCGCACGCAGGCGGUUUGUUAAGUCAGAUGUGAAAAUCCCCGGGCUCAACCUGGGAACUGCAUUUGAAACUGGCAAGCUAGAGUCUCGUAGAGGGGGGUAGAAUUCCAGGUGUAGCGGUGAAAUGCGUAGAGAUCUGGAGGAAUACCGGUGGCGAAGGCGGCCCCCCUGGACGAAGACUGACGCUCAGGUGCGAAAGCGUGGGGAGCAAACAGAUUAGAUACCCUGGUAGUCCACGCUGUAAAACGAUGUCGA